Molecule: ribosomal RNA, 229 nt
Filed under: uncultured bacterium
Lineage: Bacteria
Description: partial 16S ribosomal RNA
Rfam family: Bacterial small subunit ribosomal RNA
Source: RNAcentral
UGGGCAACCUGCCCUCAGCUCUGGGAUAACUCCAAGAAAUUGGGGCUAAUACCGGAUAUAACCGCUGACCGCAUGGUCUGGUGGUGGAAAGAUUUAUCGGCUGGGGAUGGGCCCGCGGCCUAUCAGCUUGUUGGUGGGGUAGUGGCCCACCAAGGCGACGACGGGUAGCCGGCCUGAGAGGGUGACCGGCCACACUGGGACUGAGACACGGCCCAGACUCCUACGGGAG